AAAGCAGCACAUGUCCAACAGGAAAAUGAAUAAACAAAUACAGCAUAUUCAUACAAUAGAAUCCUAUACAGAGCAACUAAAAUAACAGCUAGAGGCAACAACACGGAUGGAUCUUACAAGCCUGAUGUGGAACAAGAGAAGCCUGUCCAGAGACUAAGUGAAUGGAUUUAUGUGGUAUGCAAAAACAGGCAAAACCAAAUCAUAGUGUUUUGGGAGGUAUGCUUACAUAGUAAAGCUCUGAAGGAAAACAAAGAAAAGGCGACUAAAGAGAAUGACAACUUACACAAUGCAGAAUCCUGGAUUGGAUCCUAGAUCCAAUCAACGUGUAGGGAUGCUGAUCCCACUCCAAGUCUAGAACAUCAUUCACAUCUUGGACAGCAAAUUUCACAUACUGAUGAAGGCGCCGAAUUUCCUAUAAGAAAAAAAUUAAAAGGCAAAUAACUUGUUUUUCUGAUAGUUUGGGGGAAGAUGUAUCAAAACAGUCAAAAGAAUUCUAAAAUACUUCUAUAUUAAGAACCAUAAUGAACAAGGAAAACAGAAUAGGUUUUAAUACGAUUUUUAAAACUAUAUAAUUAAAAUGAGGCCGGGUGUAGUGGCUCAGGCCUAUAAUCCCAACACCCUGGGAGGCCAAGGCAGGAGGACUGCUUGAAGCCAGGAGUUAAAGAUCAGCCUGGGCAACACAGCAAGACUCUGUCUCUAAUAAUGUAUACAAAUAAAAAAGUUACAUAAAAAAACUUUAUAAUUAAAAUGAAAAACAAAAUUGGCCAGGAGUGGUGGCUCCUCACUUUGGGA
This is a long non-coding RNA of Homo sapiens (human), 792 nucleotides long. The record is from Ensembl. Lineage: Eukaryota; Metazoa; Chordata; Mammalia; Primates; Hominidae.